GCCCUCAUAGCUCAGACGGCUAGAGUGCAUCCUUGGUAAGGAUGAGGUCAUCGGUUCGAUUCCGAUUGAGGGCUCCA
RNAcentral lists this transfer RNA (77 nucleotides) under bacterium. Its description in RNAcentral is "tRNA-Thr". It matches the Rfam family "tRNA". From Rfam's summary of the family: Transfer RNA (tRNA) molecules are approximately 80 nucleotides in length. Their secondary structure includes four short double-helical elements and three loops (D, anti-codon, and T loops). Further hydrogen bonds mediate the characteristic L-shaped molecular structure. tRNAs have two regions of fundamental functional importance: the anti-codon, which is responsible for specific mRNA codon recognition, and the 3' end, to which the tRNAs corresponding amino acid is attached (by aminoacyl-tRNA synthetases). tRNAs cope with the degeneracy of the genetic code in two manners: having more than one tRNA (with a specific anti-codon) for a particular amino acid; and 'wobble' base-pairing, i.e. permitting non-standard base-pairing at the 3rd anti-codon position. The record is from RNAcentral.